UACGUAGGGUGCAAGCGUUAAUCGGAAUUACUGGGCGUAAAGCGUGCGCAGGCGGCUUUGCAAGACAGAUGUGAAAUCCCCGGGCUUAACCUGGGAACUGCAUUUGAGACUGCGUAGCUAGGGUGCGGAAGAGGGAAGCGGAAUUUCCGGUGUAGCGGUGAAAUGCGUAGAUAUCGGAAGGAACACCAGUGGCGAAAGCGGCUUCCUGGUCCAGCACCGACGUUCAGGCACGAAAGCGUGGGGAGCAAACAGG
This 253-nucleotide ribosomal RNA is filed under the name uncultured bacterium. RNAcentral's name for it is "partial 16S ribosomal RNA". It matches the Rfam family "Bacterial small subunit ribosomal RNA", at positions 524 to 776 of the family's 1533-position model. The record is from RNAcentral.